AGUGAACGCUGGCGGUAGGCCUAACACAUGCAAGUCGAACGGCGGCACAGUAAGAGCUUGCUCUUACGGGUGGCGAGUGGCGGGCGGGUGAGGAAUACAUCGGAAUCUACUUUUUCGUGGGGGAUAACGUAGGGAAACUUACGCUCAUACCGCAUACGACCUACGGGUGAAAGCAGUGGAUCUUCGGACCUUGCGCGAUUGAAUGAGCCGAUGUCGGAUUAGCUAGUUGGCGGGGUAAAGGCCCACCAAGUCGACGAUCCGUAGCUGGUCUGAGAGGAUGAUCAGCCACACGGGAACUGAGACACGGUCCAGACUCCUACGGGAGGCAGCAGUGGGGAAUAUUGGACAAUGGGCGCAAGCCUGAUCCAGCCAUACCGCGUGGGUGAAGAAGGCCUUCGGGUUGUAAAGCCCUUUUGUUGGGAAAGAAAAGCAGCAGGUUAAUACCCCGCUGUUCUGACGGUACCCAAAGAAUAAGCACCGGCUAACUUCGUG
Molecule: ribosomal RNA, 492 nt
Filed under: uncultured bacterium
Lineage: Bacteria
Description: partial 16S ribosomal RNA
Rfam family: Bacterial small subunit ribosomal RNA
Source: RNAcentral